This 426-nucleotide ribosomal RNA is filed under the name uncultured bacterium. Its description in RNAcentral is "partial 16S ribosomal RNA". It matches the Rfam family "Bacterial small subunit ribosomal RNA", at positions 354 to 796 of the family's 1533-position model. The record is from RNAcentral.
GUGAGGAAUUUUCCGCAAUGGGCGAAAGCCUGACGGAGCAAUGCCGCGUGAAGGAUGAAGGCCUAUGGGUUGUAAACUUCUUUUCUCAGAAAAGAAUUAUGACGGUAUCUGAGGAAUAAGCAUCGGCUAACUCUGUGCCAGCAGCCGCGGUAAGACAGAGGAUGCAAGCGUUAUCCGGAAUGAUUGGGCGUAAAGCGUCUGUAGGUUGUUUAAAAAGUAUUCUGUCAAAGAUUAGGGCUUAACCCUAGAUAGGCAGAAUAAACUUUUAAGCUAGAGUUUGGUAGAGGCAGAGGGAAUUCCCUGUGGAGCGGUGAAAUGCGUAGAUAUCGGGAGGAACACCAAAGGCGAAGGCACUCUGCUGGGCCAAUACUAACACUGAGAGACGAAAGCGAGGGGAGCAAAUGGGAUUAGAAACCCGAGUAGUCC